RNA transcript from Hypanus sabinus (Atlantic stingray), 2315 nucleotides. It is a transcript of the gene named nucleosome assembly protein 1-like 4b, with no coding region annotated. The record is from RefSeq and is a predicted model, not a curated record. The transcript is spliced from 17 exons. NCBI's taxonomy places the organism in Eukaryota, Metazoa, Chordata, Chondrichthyes, Myliobatiformes, Dasyatidae.
GCCGGACUGGGCGGUGUCCAAUGGGACGUGGUCUCUUUGGUGUCCGCCAUUAGCGCGCGGAGGUGACUGAGAGGCAGCGGGCAGCACCAACGACGGGGGGCAGUUGAACCAUCAUCAUCGUGAAUGAUGGCAGAUAAGAAUAGUAAAGGGGAUGAUGCUUCUGUAGAGCCUUUGGGAAUCGACAAACAGCCAACUGAGAGCAAAGGAAAAGCAAAAUUGACGACUCAGGUCAUGCCGAGUCCACAGGUAUUAGCAGCUUUACAGGAAAAACUUGACAGUAUUUCACACACUCCAUCAAGCUACAUUGAAACUUUACCUAAAGCUGUAAAGAGAAGAAUAAAUGCCUUGAAGCGGCUUCAGGUUAAAUGUGCCCACAUAGAAGCCAAAUUUUAUGAGGAAAUUCAUGAACUGGAGCGGAAAUAUGCAGCUCUUUACCAGCCAUACUUUGAAAAGAGACGAGACAUAACAUCAGGCAACGUAGAACCCACAGAUGCAGAAUGUGAAUGGCAUAGUGACAAGGAAGAAGAAGAAGAAGAAUUAGCAGAAGAAUUGAAAAAGAAAGUAGCAAUAGAAGAGAAGAAAGAAGAAUCAGGACAGGAUGAAAAUCCCAAAGGAAUCCCCGAUUUCUGGGUCACAAUAUUCAGGAAUGUAGAUAUGAUAAGUGAAAUUGUUGAGGAGCACGAUGAGCCAAUCUUGAAACACUUGGAGGAUGUCCGAGUGAAGUUCUCAGAGCCAAAUGAGCCAAUGAGUUUUACGCUAGAAUUUCACUUUGAACCAAAUGAUUACUUCACAAAUUCAGUAUUAACCAAAACCUAUAAGAUGAGGUCGGAACCUGAUGAGACUGAUCCUUUCUCCUUUGAAGGCCCAGAGAUAGUUGACUCUGUAGGAUGUACUAUUGACUGGAAGAAAGGAAGGAAUAUAACUGUGAAAACUAUUAAAAAGAAACAGAAGCACAAAGGGAGAGGGACUGUCCGAACCAUCACCAAACAAGUACCCAAUGAUUCUUUCUUCAACUUCUUUAAUCCAUUAAAAGUUUCCGGACAUGGUGAGGCAGAAAUGGAUGAAGAUUCAGAAUUUAACUUAGCCACAGAUUUUGAAAUUGGGCACUUUUUCCGUGAGCGAAUAGUACCUAGAGCCAUUCUGUAUUUCACUGGUGAAGCCAUAGAUGAUGAUGAAGAUUAUGAAGUUGAGGAGGGAGAAGAAGGUGAAGAGGAGGAUGAUGAUGAAGAGGAAGAUGGUGAUGACGAUGAUGAUGCUGAGAUAGAUCCUAAAGUGUAAUUCAUGUCUCAGUAAAACAAUUGUACGUUCCUAGCCUCCUGUGUGACAUGUGGUGAAAGGCUUCUGAAAACCUAGAAAGAGCCCAGCCAGCCUGCUGAAUGCAAGCAGCAAUAGGAGUGUGGUACCAAGGAAACACCACUGCCUCGAGACUGAUGCCAUGUGAAAAAGUGUAUCUAAAAUACUCUUGUGCAGUUGAGGCAACCCCUCCCUUCUCCAGCACAAUCUUAUAAGCUAAACACUAUUUUAAAAUGCAUGGGUUGCUCUUUAACUUAAGUUUUUUCCCCUACUUUUUGCUUACUUUUACAGUGGAAAUAAUACAAAAUUCUACUUCAAAAAUGCUGAAGGGUUCACGACUGUAAGGUAAAGCAAGCAUGCACUCUACAGCUCUAAUAAACACUGGUAUUUUGAAAUGUAGUGAGUGUUACACGCUUGUCACUUGCAGCUAGGGGCAGCAUUGCUGAGUGACUUGGUGGUGAUUUUCAUGAAGUUCUGAAGUGCAUCUUUACUGUGCUGCCCAAUAUUUGAGCAGUUACAUAGAGUUUUAGCAUUCUAUCUAUUAAUAUUUAUAUUUAAAUACAUUACGAAAGCUUAGUUUCCUACCCAAUCCAACAGUGCUGUGAUCACCAUUGCUGUUUUAGUCCAGAAUGAGGUGAUGGUAUAAAAAACUAUAUAUACAUGGAGGCUGUGCUGAAGUGUUAUUGUCACAGAAUUAUUUAUUACUGUUAUACAGAAACUACUAACCAGCAUGUGGGGGGAAAGAAAUCCAUUUCCUGGGCAUAUUAGUUCCAGUUGCAUCCACUCCAUCUUCUAAAAAGAUGCACAUUUAGGAUGAUAUGAGAAUCGUCAGUUUUCCUGUGGAAGUAAAAUCUUUAACACAGAUCUAUUUUUAUUUUUGUGUCAAGUGCACAGCACUAUGUCCAGGCAUAGAGUGCUCCAGCCUUACCUUGUUCAAACAGUUGUAAUGUACCUUAAUAUGCUGUUUUCAAUUUGUACAGAAUAGCCGGAGUAUUCUAAUAAAGUUGUGCAACGUUAAACAA